GAAUAUUGCGCAAUGGGGGAAACCCUGACGCAGCGACGCCGCGUGGAUGAUGAAGGCCUUCGGGUCGUAAAAUCCUGUCAGAUGGAAAGAAAUGCCAUAUGCCUAAUAUGUGUAUGGUUUGACGGUACCAUCAAAGGAAGCACCGGCUAACUCCGUGCCCGCAGCCGCGGUAAUACGGAGGGUGCAAGCGUUGUUCGGAAUUACUGGGCGUAAAGCGCGCGUAGGCGGUCUUUUAAGUCAGAUGUGAAAGUCCACGGCUCAACCGUGGAAGUGCAUUUGAUACUGGGAGACUUGAGUACUGGAGGGGAUGGUGGAAUUCCCGGUGUAGAGGUGAAAUUCGUAGAUAUCGGGAGGAAUACCGGUGGCGAAGGCGACCAUCUGGCCAGAUACUGACGCUGAGGUGCGAAAGCGUGGGGAGCAAACAGG
This 426-nucleotide ribosomal RNA is filed under the name uncultured bacterium. RNAcentral describes it as "bacterial SSU rRNA". It matches the Rfam family "Bacterial small subunit ribosomal RNA", at positions 359 to 776 of the family's 1533-position model. The record is from RNAcentral.